This 247-nucleotide ribosomal RNA is filed under the name uncultured bacterium. RNAcentral describes it as "partial 16S ribosomal RNA". It matches the Rfam family "Bacterial small subunit ribosomal RNA", at positions 89 to 339 of the family's 1533-position model. The record is from RNAcentral.
UGACGAGUGGCGAACGGGUGAGUAAUGUAUCGGAACAUAUCCGGAAGUGGGGGAUAACUAGUCGAAAGAUUAGCUAAUACCGCAUAUGCCCUUAGGGGGAAAGGGGGGGAUCUUAGGACCUCUCGCUUUCGGAGUGGCCGAUAUCGGAUUAGCUAGUAGGUGAGGUAAAGGCUCACCUAGGCGACGAUCCGUAGCUGGUCUGAGAGGACGACCAGCCACACUGGAACUGAGACACGGUCCAGACUCC